AGUCUUUCUUCGUGGUCACUUGAUAUUUAUCAGGGUAGAUGAUGAUUCUGCCUGAGAGGUGUAGGUCGUUGUGUAAAGUUACUUCUCUUUACACGUUCCAAAAAAAAGACAUCAAAAGUCUAUUGCAUUACUGGUUUUGUGACCGGAGUUAGUUCUCAUUUCGACUGCUGUGGUUUUCGUUUGAUGUAUUCUGCACGGUACGUUAUUUGAAAUAAAUGUUGUUUGUUCUCCGUCCAUCUUCCCGAUACUCUUUGCAUCUAUCUGCUAUC
RNAcentral lists this long non-coding RNA (269 nucleotides) under Linum usitatissimum (flax). RNAcentral's name for it is "long non-coding RNA (LUSI_LNC000713)". The record is from RNAcentral. Lineage: Eukaryota; Viridiplantae; Streptophyta; Magnoliopsida; Malpighiales; Linaceae.